Molecule: ribosomal RNA, 490 nt
Filed under: uncultured bacterium
Lineage: Bacteria
Description: partial 16S ribosomal RNA
Rfam family: Bacterial small subunit ribosomal RNA
Source: RNAcentral
AUUGAACGCUGGCGGCAGGCCUAACACAUGCAAGUCGAACGGUAACAGGAAGAAGCUUGCUUCUUUGCUGACGAGUGGCGGACGGGUGGGUAAUGUCUGGGAAACUGCCUGAUGGAGGGGGAUAACUACUGGAAACGGUAGCUAAUACCGCAUAACGUCGCAAGACCAAAAAGGGGGACCUUCGGGCCUCUUGCCAUCGGAUGUGCCCAGAUGGGAUUAGCUAGUAGGUGGGGUAACGGCUCACCUAGGCGACGAUCCCUAGCUGGUCUGAGAGGAUGACCAGCCACACUGGAACUGAGACACGGUCCAGACUCCUACGGGAGGCAGCAGUGGGGAAUAUUGCACAAUGGGCGCAAGCCUGAUGCAGCCAUGCCGCGUGUAUGAAGAAGGCCUUCGGGUUGUAAAGUACUUUCAGCGGGGAGGAAGGGAGUAAAGUUAAUACCUUUGCUCAUUGACGUUACCCGCAGAAGAAGCACCGGCUAACUCCGUG